Molecule: ribosomal RNA, 262 nt
Filed under: uncultured bacterium
Lineage: Bacteria
Description: partial 16S ribosomal RNA
Rfam family: Bacterial small subunit ribosomal RNA
Source: RNAcentral
UUAGUGGCGGACGGGUGAGUAACGCGUGGAAAACCUGCCGUAUACUGGGGGAUAACACUUAGAAAUAGGUGCUAAUACCGCAUAAGCGCACAGCUUCGCAUGAAGCGGUGUGAAAAACUCUGGUGGUAUACAAUGGUUCCGCGUCUGAUUAGCUAGUUGGUGGGGUAAUGGCCUACCAAGGCAACGAUCAGUAGCCGGCCUGAGAGGGUGAACGGCCACAUUGGGACUGAGACACGGCCCAAACUCCUACGGAAGGCAGCAG